CUUCCCUUACCCCCCCAAAAAAAAACAUACACCAGCAAUAUCUAGAAAUGGACAGUCCCAAGGUAGAGUAAAGGAGACCUUUGUUUAUCUUGCCUGCAUGUGUACUCCUGCUGCUUUUGUUCUGUCUUCCUUUCCAUGUGUACUCCUUCACCUUUUAUUCUGUAUUGCCCGCAAGUAGUCUCCUCUUUAAAAGAGGAGUUCGCGAGCCUUACUCCACCUGAUUCUAUGCAUUUCUUUCUUCUUUUUUUUACCCCCCACGAUCACUCUACUUUGAGAACACUCUCUAUCCACUUCUUUUUGCCAAAAGCACCUGAUUUUUGCACUUCUGCUACAUACAGCUUUGGUGGGUAUUGGGUAGUGCUAGUCAUCCCAUUGAGUUGUUUCGGCAAGGUCUGAUUUUUUUCUUUUCUUUUCUUGAUUCUCAUGAGUGGAAAAACACCAAUUUCCCCUGUGGCAUUUCUUGCAUCCUUACAUGAUAUAAAGUUACAGGUUGAGAUUUUGUUACCUAUAAGGUUUCUCCCCCAAACACCAACUGUAACUUUCUUACAUUUUACACAAGUUACAGGCAUCAAAAUGACCCCUUAGACUUAUAGUAUAAGAUUGGAUUUUGGGUUCUUGGCGUUUUAAUCCAGUUUUCUUGUGUUGAUGAUUUUAGUUCUUUUUUAAGCUUGGUGGGAGGUUGUGAUUUGAUCUGGGUUUUGUGAUUGAAUUCCCACCAUGAGACUGGUUUGGUUUCUUGGGUGUUUGGCUUUCUGUUCUGGAGUGUUUCCAAUUGGGGUCAGUAGGCAUGUUUCUUCCAGGCCUCCUUUUGUUAACAUUGGAGCUAUUUUCACAUUCAACUCUACGAUUGGGAGAGUUGCGAAGAUAGCCAUUGAGGCGGCGGUGGAUGACAUUAACUCCAAUUCCAGCGUUCUUGGCGGAUCAAAGCUGGUCAUUAACAUGCAGGACUCCAACUGCAGCGGCUUUCUUGGCAUGUUCGAAGCUCUACAGUUCAUGGAGACUGAUAUUGUAGCAAUGGUCGGUCCACAGUCUUCUGUAAUUGCCCAUGUGAUUUCACAUGUUGCAAAUGAACUCCAAGUUCCUCUACUGUCAUUUGCAGCUACGGACCCCACCCUAUCUUCACUUCAGUACCCAUUUUUUGUACGGAUGACUCAGAGCGAUCUGUUUCAGAUGUCUGCGAUAGCUGAAUUGCUCGAUUUUUAUCGUUGGAAAAAUGUGAUUGCAGUCUAUAUCGACAAUGAUUAUGGGAGAAAUGGGGUAUCUGCACUAGGUGAUAAACUCGCUGAGAGACGAUGUAAGAUUUCUUACAAGGCUGCGCUGCCCCCCGGAGUGACUAGCGAUGAAAUCAUGAAUAUACUAGUUAAGGUGUUAAUGAUGGAAUCCCGCAUUAUCGUCCUGCAUGCAAAUCUGGAUUCAGGCCUGGCGGUUCUCUCUGUGGCCCACUAUCUUGGCUUGAUGGGGAACGGGUAUGUGUGGAUAGCUACGGAUUGGCUCUCUUCUGUUUUAGAUACUUCUAGGCCACUUGCUUGGGAAACCAUGGAAUCAAUGCAAGGAAUUCUAACUUUGCGUCAACAUACAGCAGAUUCGGGAAGAAAAAGAGAUUUUGUUUCUAGGUGGAGUAAGUUAACUGGUAAAAAGAAGUCUGACUCCUUGGGUUUGAAUGCUUAUGGCUUGUAUGCUUACGAUACCAUAUGGACAAUUGCUCACGCGAUCAACACUUUCUUCAAUGAGGGUGGGACCAUAUCGUUUUCCAACGAUCCAAGGCUACAUGAUCCAGAGGGUGCAUCCUUGAACCUGGAAGCAAUGAACAUCUUUGAUGGGGGGAAGCUCUUGCUGAAGACUAUAUUGCAGACCGAUCAGAUGGGUAUAACUGGACCUAUUCGGUUUGAUGCUGAUGGGUUCCUCAUUCAUCCUGCCUAUGACAUCAUUAAUGUAGUUGGGACAGGUAUUCGGAACAUUGGUUACUGGUCUAACUAUUCCGGAUUAUCGAUUGUAACCCCCGAAACACUUUACUCGAAGCCGCCUAACCGUUCGAGUUCGAACCAACAACUCAAGAAUGUCAUUUGGCCGGGGGAUAUGGUUGCGAUACCUCGUGGGUGGGUGUUCCCUAGCAAUGGAAACGAGUUGAGAAUUGGCAUACCCAAUAGAGUUAGUUACCGGGACUUUGUUUCUCAAGUGAGGGGUAGAGACAUGGUGAAGGGGUUCUGCAUAGAUGUGUUUAUGGCUGCUGUAAACCUAUUGCCAUAUGCUGUUCGGUAUAGAUUCAUCCCUUACGGAGAUGGCCAGAAGAACCCGAGCUACACUGGGCUUGUGAAUAUGAUCACAUCGAAUGCCUUUGAUGCAGCUGUAGGUGACAUUGCCAUUGUUACAAAUCGAACGAGGAUCGCGGAUUUUACUCAGCCAUAUAUUGAGUCUGGGCUUGUGAUAGUGGCCCCUGUCAAGAAGUUGAACUCGAAUGAGUGGGCCUUCCUGCGGCCGUUUACACUACAGAUGUGGUGCGUGACAGGGGCAUUCUUCAUUGUCAUAGGAAUAGUUGUGUGGAUUCUUGAGCACAGGGUGAAUGAAGAUUUCCGCGGUCCACCUAGAAAGGAAAUUAUCACCAUUUUAUGGUUUAGCUUCUCAACUUUGUUUUUCGCCCACAAAGAGAACAUUGUUAGCGCACUGGCCCGCGCUAUACUGGUCCUAUGGUUGUUCGUGGUCUUGAUAAUUCAAUCGAGCUACACUGCAAGCCUGACCUCGAUCCUCACAGUUCAACAGCUCUCAUCGUCUAUCACAGGAAUUGACAGCUUGAAAGCAAGCAAUGAGCCAAUUGGAUUUCAAGUUGGCUCCUUCAUCGAGAACUAUUUGAUUGAGGAACUAGGCAUUCCCAAGUCUAGGCUCGUCUCUCUUGGCACACCAGAAGAGUAUGCUGCGGCCCUCCAACGCGGGCCCAAACACGGGGGUGUUGCUGCUGUGGUCGAUGAGCUCCCAUACAUAGAACUCUUCCUCUCGACUAACUGCAAGUUCAGAAUCGCAGGCCAGUUGUUUACAAAAGGCGGGUGGGGAUUUGUAAGUAUAUUAAAAAACAGCCCUGCUAAGACCACUCAUGAGUGCUACUCCCCCACCUCACCAUGUGGCAUGAGUGUGAGAGAUCCAGGCCAUUAACCUGGUGCACGGUUCCAUGGAUGUGUGAUGACCCAAGAAACAGGUCGGUCCAGUGACUCCAGACAUCAGGCAUUCCCACGAGACUCUCCCUUAGCUGUUGACAUGUCAACAGCCAUCUUACAACUAUCAGAGAAUGGUGAUCUCCAAAGAAUCCAUGAUAAGUGGCUGAUCAGAAGCGGGUGCAGUUUACAAAGCACUGA
This is an RNA transcript of Magnolia sinica, 3344 nucleotides long. It is a transcript of the gene named glutamate receptor 3.3, with no coding region annotated. The record is from RefSeq and is a predicted model, not a curated record. Lineage: Eukaryota; Viridiplantae; Streptophyta; Magnoliopsida; Magnoliales; Magnoliaceae. The transcript is spliced from 6 exons.